Molecule: ribosomal RNA, 492 nt
Filed under: uncultured bacterium
Lineage: Bacteria
Description: partial 16S ribosomal RNA
Rfam family: Bacterial small subunit ribosomal RNA
Source: RNAcentral
AGUGAACGCUGGCGGUAGGCCUAACACAUGCAAGUCGAACGGCAGCACAGUAAGAGCUUGCUCUUACGGGUGGCGAGUGGCGGACGGGUGAGGCAUACAUCGGAAUCUACUUUUUCGUGGGGGAUAAUGUAGGGAAACUUACGCUAAUACCGCAUACGACCUACGGGUGAAAGCAGGGGAUCUUCGGACCUUGCGCGAUUGAAUGAGCCGAUGUCGGAUUAGCUAGUUGGCGGGGUAAAGGCCCACCAAGGCGACGAUCCGUAGCUGGUCUGAGAGGAUGAUCAGCCACACUGGAACUGAGACACGGUCCAGACUCCUACGGGAGGCAGCAGUGGGGAAUAUUGGACAAUGGGCGCAAGCCUGAUCCAGCCAUACCGCGUGGGUGAAGAAGGCCUUCGGGUUGUAAAGCCCUUUUGUUGGGAAAGAAAAGCAGCAGGUUAAUACCCCGCUGUUCUGACGGUACCCAAAGAAUAAGCACCGGCUAACUUCGUG